This 71-nucleotide transfer RNA is filed under the name Stegodyphus mimosarum. It matches the Rfam family "tRNA". From Rfam's summary of the family: Transfer RNA (tRNA) molecules are approximately 80 nucleotides in length. Their secondary structure includes four short double-helical elements and three loops (D, anti-codon, and T loops). Further hydrogen bonds mediate the characteristic L-shaped molecular structure. tRNAs have two regions of fundamental functional importance: the anti-codon, which is responsible for specific mRNA codon recognition, and the 3' end, to which the tRNAs corresponding amino acid is attached (by aminoacyl-tRNA synthetases). tRNAs cope with the degeneracy of the genetic code in two manners: having more than one tRNA (with a specific anti-codon) for a particular amino acid; and 'wobble' base-pairing, i.e. permitting non-standard base-pairing at the 3rd anti-codon position. The record is from Rfam by way of RNAcentral. Lineage: Eukaryota; Metazoa; Arthropoda; Arachnida; Araneae; Eresidae.
GCCUUCGUCGUACAACGGUAGCACACUCGGCGCUUAUUCGAGAGGUACAGGUUCGAAUCCCGGCGAGGGCG